GUCGACGAUAAUCAGGAGCUUGCUUCUGUGAUUAGUGGCGAACGGGUGAGUAACACGUGAGUAACCUGCCCCUGACUCUGGGAUAAGCGUUGGAAACGACGUCUAAUACUGGAUACGACUGCCGGCCGCAUGGUCUGGUGGUGGAAAGAUUUUUUGGUUGGGGAUGGACUCGCGGCCUAUCAGCUUGUUGGUGAGGUAAUGGCUCACCAAGGCGACGACGGGUAGCCGGCCUGAGAGGGUGACCGGCCACACUGGGACUGAGACACGGCCCAGACUCCUACGGGAGGCAGCAGUGGGGAAUAUUGCACAAUGGGCGAAAGCCUGAUGCAGCAACGCCGCGUGAGGGAUGACGGCCUUCGGGUUGUAAACCUCUUUUAGUAGGGAAGAAGCGAAAGUGACGGUACCUGCAGAAAAAGCACCGGCUAACUACGUGCCAGCAGCCGCGGUAAUACGUAGGGUGCAAGCGUUGUCCGGAAUUAUUGGGCGUAAAGAGCUCGUAGGCGG
RNAcentral lists this ribosomal RNA (504 nucleotides) under Curtobacterium sp. RNAcentral describes it as "bacterial SSU rRNA". It matches the Rfam family "Bacterial small subunit ribosomal RNA", at positions 61 to 578 of the family's 1533-position model. The record is from RNAcentral. Lineage: Bacteria; Bacillati; Actinomycetota; Actinomycetes; Micrococcales; Microbacteriaceae.